This 58-nucleotide transfer RNA is filed under the name Rhinebothrium megacanthophallus. RNAcentral describes it as "tRNA-Tyr". Lineage: Eukaryota; Metazoa; Platyhelminthes; Cestoda; Rhinebothriidea; Rhinebothriidae. The record is from RNAcentral.
UCUGAUUUAACAUAUAUAAAUGUGUGAGAUUGUAAAUCUUUAAAAAGCUGUUUAGCUA